RNAcentral lists this transfer RNA (76 nucleotides) under Magnetospira thiophila. RNAcentral's name for it is "tRNA-Trp". It matches the Rfam family "tRNA". Rfam says of the family: Transfer RNA (tRNA) molecules are approximately 80 nucleotides in length. Lineage: Bacteria; Pseudomonadati; Pseudomonadota; Alphaproteobacteria; Rhodospirillales; Thalassospiraceae. RNAcentral also lists the same sequence under 4 other names. The record is from RNAcentral.
AGGGGUAUAGCUCAGUUGGUAGAGCGGCGGUCUCCAAAACCGCAGGUCGAGGGUUCGAGCCCUUCUGCCCCUGCCA